This 857-nucleotide ribosomal RNA is filed under the name Protoparmeliopsis crystalliniformis. RNAcentral describes it as "partial large subunit ribosomal RNA". It matches the Rfam family "Eukaryotic large subunit ribosomal RNA", at positions 66 to 940 of the family's 3401-position model. The record is from RNAcentral. Lineage: Eukaryota; Fungi; Ascomycota; Lecanoromycetes; Lecanorales; Lecanoraceae.
CAACGGGGAUUGCCUCAGUAACGGCGAGUGAAGCGGCAACAGCUCAAAUUUGAAAUCUGGCCCUUUCGGGGUCCGAGUUGUAAUUUGUAGAGGGUGUUGCGGGCGCGGCUCCGGUCUAAGUCCCUUGGAACAGGGCGUCAUAGAGGGUGAGAAUCCCGUAUGUGACCGGCGGUCAACCCCAUACGCAACCCCUUCGACGAGUCGAGUUGUUUGGGAAUGCAGCUCAAAAUGGGUGGUAAAUUUCAUCUAAAGCUAAAUACCGGCCAGAGACCGAUAGCGCACAAGUAGAGUGAUCGAAAGAUGAAAAGCACUUUGGAAAGAGAGUCAAAAAGUACGUGAAAUUGUUGAAAGGGAAGCGCUUGCAACCAGACCUGUUCGCGGGCGCUCAACCCCUGUGUCUCAGGGGCGCACUCGUCCGCGACCAGGCCAGCAUCGGUUCGGGCGGCGGGAUAAAUGCCUCGGGAAUGUAGCUCCUUUCGGGGAGUGUUAUAGCCCGUGGUGCAAUGCCGCCUGCCCGGACCGAGGACCGCGCUUCGGCUAGGAUGCUGGCGUAAUGGUUGUAAGCGACCCGUCUUGAAACACGGACCAAGGAGUAGAAUAUCUAUGCGAGUGUUUGGGCGUCAAACCCAUACGCGCAAUGAAAGUGAACGGAGGUGAGAACCCUUAAGGGCGCAUCAUCGACCGAUCCAGAUGUCAUCGGAUGGAUUUGAGUACGAGCAUAGCUAUUCUGACCCGAAAGAUGGUGAACUAUACGUGAAUAGGGUGAAGCCAGAGGAAACUCUGGUGGAGGCUCGCAGCGGUUCUGACGUGCAAAUCGAUCGUCAAAUUUGCGUAUAGGGGCGAAAGACUAAUCGAAC